This 2146-nucleotide long non-coding RNA is filed under the name Paramuricea clavata. The record is from RNAcentral. Lineage: Eukaryota; Metazoa; Cnidaria; Anthozoa; Malacalcyonacea; Plexauridae.
CUUAUCGUCUUGUGUCAAAUGAUCACAAAUACUCUUGUAUUAAAAGCGGAACACUUCAGUUUACAUAACGAUAGGAUAUUAGUCAUGGCGCACACAAAUUGGUUUAAGGGCGUUCUUUAUAUUAGGCAGUGGUAUUUAUUAAUAGUGUUAUGGAAUUGUAUCAAGACAAACGCUUCAUGUCCAUCAGGCACAUUUAAAAGUGAUUUUCUGAGCGGCGGAUGUGCGUUGUGUCCACAGAAGUUGAAAUAUUGUGAAAAUGAAGAACUCGAAGACUCUGUACGAUGUUUCAGAGCUUGUCGUAAGUUACAUGAUGUUAUAUCAAUUCUAAUGUUGUAUUCGUGUGAAAUUUACAACAUUAAUUGUCAUGCAUAUCCACUGACGACCAUUAACCUAGCUAACGCCAGAUGAUUUUAUAUAUAAAAGUUUCAUUGAUAGGGAAGCCAGAAAAAUACAAAAAGAACGACGUUUCGAGUGAAGGCCUUCGUCUCGUCACAAAAUAUUGUCUGUCUAAUAAGGACUAGUAUAAAAUGAAGAAAAAACUUUAUGGCUUGUAUUGAUAUCUGUAUCGACAAUUGAGGGAUUAUUAAAAAAUAUAUAGCCUAGGCAGUUGUAGUUGCAGGCACUGGAAAUAUCCGUAUAGUGGGGUCCACUCUUGAAAAAUAUAAUAGGCCUACUUAUAUCUAUUUCCCAAGUAAACGGUGAUUGACCCGGACAACUGUAUGUUGUUAGUUUUGGUUUAGCGACACAUAAGGUCUAUGAUUUCCUGUCGAGACAUGAAGAAUUUUAGAAACUUUUUAUCGGCGUGAUUCAUCAUGCAGCUACCUUUAAUUCAAUUAUAAAUUUGCAUCUAAGUUUUAAGUUUUUAUGUUUCGUUUAAGCUGAUGGAAUACUAAUACUCAUGUAGACUAACAACUAUUGAUGCCACUGCUAAAUUUUUCCUAUAUUCCGUAUUACCAAAACCACGCGGAUCCUUCCUAUCGCCCAGAAACACCUGUAAUGUUUUCCUGUCAAAACAUUCGCAUUCUUGAAUGUUUUGACACGACUACAACUAGACAAAGAGGAAUUAUCCGCGGUUUUGGCAAUAAUGCUCACUUAGCAUUCAAUGAAUGUGAUAUUUGCUGAUUAAAUUUCAGUCUAUUUGUGCAUCUUUAAAGGCCCUCGACCUUGUGAAUCGAUAAUUGUCUUUUUGAAAAGCGUGGGCGCUCACAGUUUCAAUGUAGCCAUACUGUAUAUAAAAUUUCACUGCACAAAUAUGCGAAAUAAAACAACAGACAUUUAAUUCCAGACUUUCAGUAUACUUUGUAAAUUAACACACUUUAACAAAGCAUGAAACGUUUCGUUUAAAUAUUUUCUAGGCAUUCUAUAAUUUCGAAAUCAUUCAUGUUAGACAAAAAAUUCCGCAUUCUUGACUUAAUUGUCUUUGUGAUGAUAAUAUUUCGAUAAUUUUUUUUUGGCGUUGGUAGACGAGAUCCAGAGUUAUUUCCGGAUAUUUAAAUCUAUAAUAAACAAUAUUUGCUUUUAACCUCUCUACUGCCGACAAUUAGUAUGGAAAUUAUGUCUGUCAGAAUCCACUGUAACUUUUAAACAGUCCGAAGAAAUUAUUAACGGCGAAAAGUCGAAAUUUAUAGUUGUACGUCUGUGUUCUGGUUGCGUUACAAACAAAAAUAUAUACUUGACAAAAUUGAGUUUAAUUAAUUAAUUAUAGCAGAGGGCAGUGGAAUAUCAUGGAAGAUGGGCAUAACUCGAGUGCUGCCUUUCUUUGCCUAAUAUGAUAAAGAAGUCAGGAAAAUGCAAAGAGAGUGUAGUUUUUGAACCCUGCACUCAUAACUCCCACCCCGCACAAUCAAUUCCGAAAUGAAUAUUACAACACCCUGUUUGAAAUCGCUACGAAUCGCGUGGGUACGUCAUGGUGUGAACAUUGCAUAGUUAAAUUCUAAUAAUAGCAAUUUUAUCUAUUUCUAACGUUCGACAAAUGCGUGGUAAGACGUCAUAGAGAAGCUUUGUGAACAACUACACCCUUAAAGUUAAAGCCUCGCUUUAGUGUAUGCAUGUGACACCAACUAAGGUCCAAGGUCUCAAUCAUGAAAACGAGACUCUGUAACCAAGGUGACAAACUUUCCAAAAGCGUGCAUUCUAGGGAUAUAGC